Small nuclear RNA from Dromiciops gliroides (monito del monte), 108 nucleotides. The record is from RefSeq and is a predicted model, not a curated record. Lineage: Eukaryota; Metazoa; Chordata; Mammalia; Microbiotheria; Microbiotheriidae.
GUGCUUACUUUAACAGCACAUAGAGUAAACUUGGAAGGAUACAGAGAAAAAUUAGCAUGGCCUCUAGGCAAGGAUAAGAAGCAAAUUAGUAAAGCAUUACAGAUUUUU